Phyllostomus discolor (pale spear-nosed bat) is the source of this 564-nucleotide non-coding RNA. NCBI's taxonomy places the organism in Eukaryota, Metazoa, Chordata, Mammalia, Chiroptera, Phyllostomidae. The record is from the annotation of a RefSeq genome assembly.
AACACACGAGUCAAGAUUUUCUAGAAGAUUCCACCAAAGGAUCACGAAAGUAGAGGAACAGCCCUCUCAGCUGUGGUAUUACCAAGCAAACCUGCUGCUGGUUCUCUGCCAGCCAUGCUGUCUGCUUCCAGCCUGGUACUUAUGAUCUUGUUGAUGUUGGGAGGGACCAGUGGAGACUCAGUGACCCAGACAGAAGGCCCUGUUACCCUCCUAGAGGGGAAAACUUUGACUCUGAGGUGCACUUACCAGACCAGCUCUGGGUAUUCAGUUUAUCUCUUCUGGUAUGUCCAGUAUCCAAAAAAAGAGCCUGUUCUUCUCCUGAAAAGCUCAUCGGAUAAUCAGGAGGUCCACAACGGAGAAUUUCAGGCCAAACUGGUGAAGAGUAACAACUCCUUCCACCUGACAAAACAUUCAGUGCGAAUGGCAGACUCGGCGGUAUACUACUGUGCUGUGAGUGACACAGUGUUGGAGGCUGCAGGGGGAGCUGAGCACAAACCCAGAAAAAUGCAGGUGGGGCACUGGCUGUGGGCAGCCCUGGGUGGGAGAGUUAUAUUCUCUCCCUAA